Molecule: ribosomal RNA, 468 nt
Filed under: uncultured bacterium
Lineage: Bacteria
Description: partial 16S ribosomal RNA
Rfam family: Bacterial small subunit ribosomal RNA
Source: RNAcentral
GACGAACGCUGGCGGCGUGCUUAACACAUGCAAGUCGAACGGAAAGGCCCUGCUUUUGUGGGGUGCUCGAGUGGCGAACGGGUGAGUAACACGUGAGUAACCUGCCCUUGACUUUGGGAUAACUUCAGGAAACUGGGGCUAAGAUCGUAUAGGAGCUCCUGCUCCAUGGUGGGGGUUGGAAAGUUUCGGCGGUUGGGGAUGGACUCGCGGCUUAUCAGCUUGUUGGUGGGGGAGUGGCUUACCAAGGGUUUGACGGGUAGCCGGCCUGGGUGGGUGACCGGCGACAUUGGGACUGAGGUACGGACCAGACUCCUACGGGGGGCAGCAGGGGGGAGUAUUGCACAGUGGGAGGAAGCCUGAUGAAGCAGCGCCGCGUGCGGGAUGACGGCCUUCGGGGUGUGAACCGCUUUCGCCUGUGACGCGGCGUGAGUGACGGUAAUGAGUAAAGAAGCACCGGCUAACUACGUG